GGCUGAGUAACGCGUAGGUGACCUACCCGGAAGUGGGGAAUAACUGCCCGAAAGGGUGGCUAAUACCGCAUGUGAUCGGUGAUUCGAUUCACCGCUUAAAGGAGUAAUCCGCUUCCGGCGGGGCCUGCGUUCGAUUAGCUAGUUGGUGGGGUAACGGCUCACCAAGGCGACGAUCGAUAGCUGGUCUGAGAGGAUGAUCAGCCAGACUGGGACUGAGAACGGCCCAGACUCCUACGGGAGGCAGCAGUCGGGAAUUUUGCCCAAUGGACGAAAGUCUGAGGCAGCAACUCCGCGUGAGGGACGAAGGCUCUAGGGUCGUAAACCUCUUUUCUCAGGGAAGAUCCAAGACGGUACCUGAGGAAUAAGCCACGGCUAACUACGUGCCAGCAGCCGCGGUAAUACGUAGGUGGCAAGCGUUGUCCGGAUUUACUGGGCGUAAAGAGCGCGCAGGCGGCUGGUCAAGUCCGAUGUGAAAUCUCCCGGCUCAACUGGGAAACUGCAUCGGAAACUGAUCGGCUUGAAGGUGGGAGAGGGUAGUGGAAUUCCCGGUGUAGUGGUGAAAUGCGUAGAUAUCGGGAGGAACACCAGUGGCGAAGGCGACUACCUGGCCCAUUCUUGACGCUGAGGCGCGAAAGCUAGGGGAACGAACGGGAUUAGAUACCCCGGUAGUCCUAGCCGUAAACGAUGAACACUAGGCGUAGUCGGUAUCGACCCCGGCUGUGCCGUAGCUAACGCAUUAAGUGUUCCGCCUGGGGGAGUACGGCCGCAAGGCUAAAACUCAAAGGAAUUGACGGGGGCCCGCACAAGCAGCGGAGCGUGUGGUUUAAUUCGUCGCAACGCGAAGAA
RNAcentral lists this ribosomal RNA (846 nucleotides) under uncultured bacterium. RNAcentral describes it as "bacterial SSU rRNA". It matches the Rfam family "Bacterial small subunit ribosomal RNA", at positions 104 to 968 of the family's 1533-position model. The record is from RNAcentral.